Gallus gallus (chicken) is the source of this 2634-nucleotide long non-coding RNA. RefSeq lists it as uncharacterized. The transcript has 3 exons. NCBI's taxonomy places the organism in Eukaryota, Metazoa, Chordata, Aves, Galliformes, Phasianidae. The record is from RefSeq and is a predicted model, not a curated record.
UGAGAAUUACACUGCUUUUAUUCCGCAGCAACUAUUUACAGAGAGUCCCACACAUGGAACUGUUCAUUUAGAAGAGAGCUGAUAUUGUCACAAAGAGGUAAGUACGUGUCGCCCUCUGGGACUUGUCCUGUGGUGCACCUCGUGCUUUUGGCCAUCCGGCUUAACUGUUGCUGCUGCUGGUACGUGCUCCACUGUGACAUGUGCUGUCACUGGUGAGGCUGCACCUGGAGUGCUGUGCUCAGUGCUGGGACCCUCACUACAAAAAGGACACUGAGGCCCUGGAGCAUGUCCAGAGGUGGUGGGGAUGGGUUGGUGGUUGGGCCGUGGAUGAUCUUAGUGCUCUCUUCCAACCUUAGUGAUUCUAUGAUUCUGCAUCAGCACCUGAAAGCUAGAGGAUUUCUGACAUUUCAGCCCGCUUUUCCUUUUUUUUUCUAAAGGACACUUUUUAUUUCCUGGCUCUUAAUUCUGCAAGUUAUCUUUCCUGAAAUUGCCUUUUACCCAUUUUCAUUAGAAGGUUGCUCUUUGAGGGAUUUAUAGCAUUUGUGCUUUCGUUCCACUUGUGUAGAUACAAUCAGUCAAUAAAACACAGCUCUUGAAGGAAGAUAAACGUCUGUAUAUACUCGUAAGCUGUGUUUUAUUAAUGGUGGCUGUAUUUGCUUCUGCUAGAGCUCAAAGGCAGGAUGAAGCUGAGGACAGCACGCUGUAAAUACUCUUCCUCACGUCCCAGCUGUGCAUUGCACGAGUGGAAAGGCGAGGGGCUGCUCACCAGAGGGCUUGCUUCCUUCAGAGCAAUGUUUGGUGAAGAGGAGGAGAGACAGCCAGCAAGACCUGCAUCCCCAUUGAGGCAAAGAGCGCUUAAAACACGCACAGCCCCAGGCAAUGCCCUGCAGGCAGCUCUGCCCACAACCAGACAAGGCAAUGAGCAGCCAUGCCUACUGGUUCUGCCUUUUUCCAUAGUUCUCUGUGCCCAAAUCCCAUCAAAGGACUGGGAACUGUAACUGUAGCCUUGAGUAAUGUUGGUAACUCCCCCCAUGAAAAUAACAAAAACAGAAGUUUGAAAAAGAAUGGAAAUUAUCCUUCUUAUCAGAAUUGCCUUCAAACCCUCCAAAGGGUAAUUGGUAAUGUUAAAAAUAAAGAAUUGAUGCUUAUCAGCAUGCAGGCUAACCUUGCUAACAAGGAGCAUAUGACUAAAGCAUCUGAGGGUAGAACACAUUGGAAUUAAAACUGUAUAAAUCAACAAUCCUUUAACAGAGCGAGGCUGGAAGUUCUGUUGCCUUAAAUGGACAAGGUAUUUUGUUUGGAAGUUGGUUCUCCUAUACCUCCAAAUUCUGUUCUAUAACUUCUGCUGAUGUCCCCUCUGAAAGCAUGACAUCCAUCACAUGUGCUCCUGUUUUCUGUACCCUCACAACCUUAGCACAGGAUGUCCUCAGACCAACCUUUCUCUUGCUUGAGUUCCCUGCCCCCUGUGAGAAUCUGACUGUGCUUCAGUCUCUCUCUUUCCUCCGUAAACUUUGUUCUUCAUAGGGCUUGAAGAAUGUGCUCAAGGCAGUGUUCUUCGUCCCAGGUUUGACAUGGGUUGGUGGGCAUGGUGGGGAUGGGUUGAUAGUUGGGCAUGACGGUCUUGGUGGUCCUUCUCAGCCUUAACGAUUCUAUGAUUCUAUGGUUCUAUACCAGACUCCUGCUGGAGCCAUCCCUGGGGCUUUGUGGGCCAGGAGGAAGAGUGUCCCUGCUGGAGCUGUCUGGGUGUCUUCCAGACCAACCUCAUAUGCGAACAGCGAUAGGGAAGGUUAUAAUUGGUGAUCUGAUCCUCAGUGAUGUGUCAUUACUGCAACGUCCAAAUAACCAAAAUGGAGUUUUUGAUAAUCCUUGUGCUGCACAGCCGUAAGUGCAUCACUUCCCACAUUAAUCCAGAAAAUAGUUUUCUUUUAUGCAAUAAAACCUGUAGGGAGAGAAUGAUCCCAAAGACUUGUGAAACCUUAGGAAAUAGCAAUACGAACUAUUUCAGUCUUAAUUAAAUUACUUGAAAGUAUAAAGUGAAACUGUAUUUUCUGAGUAAGUGAAUGGAGUAAUUAAAAUAAAUCCAAAGACCAGCAGACAUUUAUCUGAGCUGCCCGUGUGUCUUUUUGGUAAUUCUGUUGCACAAAGUUUUUCCUGAAAGGCAAAACAAAGCCACAGAUUACAAAUUGCUGGAGAGAUGGGAGAAUCUAAAGGCACAAAAAGAGGAGGGGUCAGCAUGAAGGUGCUCCAAUUUCAUUUGCAGUUGAUGACAGUGAUUAUGCUCCUCUAGGGGGAUAAUAGGGGCUUAGCAGCAAGGCUGGAGGAUUCAUCCUGACAACGUUUUUUUCCUUUUUGCAGGAAACAAAAAUGGGUCUUCGUGGGGAUGUGAGCAAAUGUGUUGAAUGUGAAACAUCUGUGUGGACAGAUUCAAUGGGACACAUGUUGCAGCCUUUCAGAGCCUGGACCAUACUUUGGAUCUGGAUGUGGUGAUGGGAGAGAUGAGAAGAAUGAAAGCAAUGAAUAUAUCUGCCCUGGGAUGUCCUCAUCUGUCCUGGAAGGCACUGUGCACGUCCUUGGUAUGGUGCAAGAAGCAGUUACGUAAAGAGAACGAGGACAACAUUAACCGUGUACCACUGG